Molecule: ribosomal RNA, 497 nt
Filed under: uncultured bacterium
Lineage: Bacteria
Description: partial 16S ribosomal RNA
Rfam family: Bacterial small subunit ribosomal RNA
Source: RNAcentral
GAUGAACGCUGGCGGCGUGCCUAAUACAUGCAAGUCGAGCGAACAGACGAGGAGCUUGCUCCUCUGACGUUAGCGGCGGACGGGUGAGUAACACGUGGAUAACCUACCUAUAAGACUGGGAUAACUUCGGGAAACCGGAGCUAAUACCGGAUAAUAUAUUGAACCGCAUGGUUCAAUAGUGAAAGACGGUUUUGCUGUCACUUAUAGAUGGAUCCGCGCCGCAUUAGCUAGUUGGUAAGGUAACGGCUUACCAAGGCAACGAUGCGUAGCCGACCUGAGAGGGUGAUCGACCACACUGGAGCUGAGACACGGUCCAGACUCCUACGGGAGGCAGCAGUAGGGAAUCUUCCGCAAUGGGCGAAAGCUUGACGGAGCAGCGCCGCGUGAGUGAUGAAGGUCUUCGGAUCGUAAAACUCUGUUAUUAGGGAAGAACAAAUGUGUAAGUAACUAUGCACGUCUUGACGGUACCUGAUCAGAAAGCCACGGCUAACUACGUG